This 494-nucleotide ribosomal RNA is filed under the name uncultured bacterium. RNAcentral describes it as "partial 16S ribosomal RNA". It matches the Rfam family "Bacterial small subunit ribosomal RNA", at positions 28 to 507 of the family's 1533-position model. The record is from RNAcentral.
GACGAACGCUGGCGGCGUGCUUAACACAUGCAAGUCGAACGGUGAAGCGCCUUCCUUUUUGGUGGGUGUGGAUGAGUGGCGAACGGGUGAGUAACACGUGAGUAACCUGCCCCCUUCUUCUGGAUAACCGCAUGAAAGUGUGGCUAAUACGGGAUAUUCUGGGUCUGUCGCAUGAUGGGUCUGGGAAAGAUAUUGUUUCGGUGGGGGAUGGGCUCGCGGCCUAUCAGCUUGUUGGUGGGGUGAUGGCCUACCAAGGCGGUGACGGGUAGCCGGCCUGAGAGGGUGGGCGGUCACACUGGGACUGAGACACGGCCCAGACUCCUACGGGAGGCAGCAGUGGGGAAUAUUGCACAAUGGGCGCAAGCCUGAUGCAGCGACGCCGCGGGAGGGAUGGAGGCCUUCGGGUUGUGAACCUCUUUCGCCAGUGAAGCAGGCCUGCCUCGUUUGUGGGUGGGUUGACGGUAGCUGGAUAAGAAGCGCCGGCUAACUACGUG